Long non-coding RNA from Esox lucius (northern pike), 957 nucleotides. RefSeq lists it as uncharacterized. Lineage: Eukaryota; Metazoa; Chordata; Actinopteri; Esociformes; Esocidae. The transcript is spliced from 3 exons. The record is from RefSeq and is a predicted model, not a curated record.
CUGUGAUUUAACAAGCUAGCAGGUUGCCCAUUCAUCUCCAGCCACUGCAAGCUAAUAGGCUCUUAUCUGGGUGCCCUGUUCCCUGAAAGUCCCUUGCUAUCUAAGCAUCAUGAUCGAUAAAUGGACGGCGUACAACUCAAACAGCCACGCUUUUGACUGCAGCUUUUCACCGGACAAUGAUGAGAUGCAACAGGACGACGUAUAAUCCGUGUCUUCCCCUCGCCUGCCCUUCUGUCAUCUACUGCUCACGUACCCGGGUUCAAACACAGCCAAACAGCCACUGCAUCCACAUUCACGAAACAGCGCAGAUGUGGUCAAAAGAAGAUUGACAAGCUCUAACAAAACCUGCAAGAGGGAUGCGAGAGGAGAGAGAUGGUUCGUCCCAUCCUGAUAUUAACUUUGGAUUGCUCUCAUCUCCUAAAGGGACUCCCAUUCACAUCCAAUAAGAGGAGCAGUGUUUUGUCAAGUGCUGUCGGGGCUGUCUGGAGCGCCAGCCUGGGACCAGGCUGUCCGUCCAGCAGGGUAAUGAGAUGGAGACCCGAGCAACCAGGGGGUUUUAGGAAAACAGGAGGGCUGAGAAUGUGUUAGCAAUGAGAGGCAAUUAUCACCCAAAAUGUGUCCUCGUUUUUAUCCCCAGAUUGAAAACUAAUACUUCGAACUAGAAUAUUGCUACUGCAACUAAAACAUUAUACAAAAUAUUUUCUAUAUGCAGAAGAGUAUUUCUCUAGGACAGCCACAAGCUGAUCUAAAAAGGUAGAAGUUGUGCAUGGUACACUGUUGGAAAAUGUAAAAAAGUAAAGAAAUACAUCAAUCAUUUUCUUCUGCAUAUUUUGAAUACAAACUAAGCUAUGCCUUACAAACUUCAAGAAACACUAAAGACACUUUCAUUGUCAUCUCUAAUAAUUUUCAUUAUUUGCUUGGGUACAGCUACAUUAAUACUGGAACUCCAAUAAAUCA